GAUGAACGCUGGCGGCGUGCCUAAUACAUGCAAGUCGAGCGAACAGACGAUGAGCUUGCUCCUCUGACGUUAGCGGCGGACGGGUGAGUAACACGUGGAUAACCUACCUAUAAGACUGGUAUAACUUCGGGAAACCGGAGCUAAUACCGGAUAAUAUAUUGCACCGCAUGGUUCAAUAGUGAAAUACGGUUUUUCUGUCACUUAUCGAUGGAUCCGGGCCGCUUUAUCUAGUUGGUAAGGUAACGGGUUACCAAGGCAACGAUGCGUAGCCGAACUGAGAGGGUGAUAGGCGACACGGGAAGGGAGACACGGUCAAGACUCCUAAGGGAGGCAGCAGUAGGGAAUCUUCCGCAAUGGGCGAAAGCUUGACGGAGCAACGGCGCGUGAGUGAUGAAGGUCUUCGGAUCGUAAAACUCGGUUAUUAGGGAAGAACAAAUGUGUAAGUAACUAUGCACGGCUUGACGGUAACUAAUCAGAAAGCCACGGCUAACUACGUG
RNAcentral lists this ribosomal RNA (497 nucleotides) under uncultured bacterium. Its description in RNAcentral is "partial 16S ribosomal RNA". It matches the Rfam family "Bacterial small subunit ribosomal RNA", at positions 28 to 507 of the family's 1533-position model. The record is from RNAcentral.